This 253-nucleotide ribosomal RNA is filed under the name uncultured bacterium. Its description in RNAcentral is "partial 16S ribosomal RNA". It matches the Rfam family "Bacterial small subunit ribosomal RNA", at positions 524 to 776 of the family's 1533-position model. The record is from RNAcentral.
UACGUAGGCAGCAAGCGUUGUUCGGAGUUACUGGGCGUAAAGGGUGCGUAGGCGGCCUUAUAAGUAUGGUGUGAAAUCUCCCGGCUUAACUGGGAGGGUGCGCUAUAGACUGUGGGGCUAGAGUGUGGGAGAGGAAAGUGGAAUUCCUGGUGUAGCGGUGAAAUGCGUAGAUAUCAGGAGGAACACCGGUGGUGUAGACGGCUCUCUGGACCGUAACUGACGCUGAGGCACGAAAGCGUGGGUAGCAAACAGG